RNAcentral lists this small nucleolar RNA (107 nucleotides) under Brassica rapa (field mustard). RNAcentral describes it as "Plant small nucleolar RNA R71". It matches the Rfam family "Plant small nucleolar RNA R71". Rfam says of the family: R71 is a member of the C/D box family of snoRNAs containing the C (UGAUGA) and D (CUGA) box motifs. Multiple nearly identical copies of this snoRNA have been identified in Arabidopsis, and it is thought to function as a 2'-O-ribose methylation guide for 18S ribosomal RNA. Lineage: Eukaryota; Viridiplantae; Streptophyta; Magnoliopsida; Brassicales; Brassicaceae. The record is from Rfam by way of RNAcentral.
AAACCAUGGUGUGGACAUUGGUUCAAGUAGCUUCUGAACCUCUCAUAUGCUUCUCUAAAUCCUUCAAGAUUCUUCUGUUGAAACCCAGAGAUUUGAUUCCUAAGCUU